Molecule: ribosomal RNA, 501 nt
Filed under: uncultured bacterium
Lineage: Bacteria
Description: partial 16S ribosomal RNA
Rfam family: Bacterial small subunit ribosomal RNA
Source: RNAcentral
AUUGAACGCUGGCGGCAUGCCUUACACAUGCAAGUCGAACGGCAGCACGGGUGCUUGCACCUGGUGGCGAGUGGCGAACGGGUGAGUAAUACAUCGGAACGUACCUUAUCGUGGGGGGUAACGCAGCGAAAGCUGUGCGAAUACCGCAUACGCCCUGAGGGGGAAAGCGGGGGAUCGCAAGACCUCGCGCGAUUAGAGCGGCCGAUGCCUGAUUAGCUUGUUGGUGGGGUAAAAGCCCACCAAGGCGACGAUCAGUAGCUGGUCUGAGAGGACGAUCAGCCACACUGGGACUGAGACACGGCCCAGACUCCUACGGGAGGCAGCAGUGGGGAAUUUUGGACAAUGGGGGCAACCCUGAUCCAGCAAUGCCGCGUGAGUGAAGAAGGCCUUCGGGUUGUAAAGCUCUUUUGUCAGGGAAGAAACACCGGCUCUAACACAGUCUGGGAAUGACGGUACCUGAAGAAUAAGCACCGGCUAACUACGUGCCAGCCGCCGCCGUAA